ACGAACGCUGGCGGCGUGCCUAAUACCUGCAAGUCGAACGCUUCUUUCCUCCCGAGUGCUUGCACUCAAUUGGAAAGAGGAGUGGCGGACGGGUGAGUAACACGUGGGUAACCUACCCAUCAGAGGGGGAUAACACUUGGAAACAGGUGCUAAUACCGCAUAACAGUUUAUGCCGCAUGGCAUAAGAGUGAAAGGCGCUUUCGGGUGUCGUUGAUGGAUGGACCCGCGGUGCAUUAGCUAGUUGGUGAGGUAACGGCUCACCAAGGCCACGAUGCAUAGCCGACCUGAGAGGGUGAUCGGCCACACUGGGAGUGAGAAGGGGCCCAGACACCUGCGGGAGGCAGCAGUAGGGAAUCUUCGGCAAUGGAGGAGAGUCUGACCGAGCAACGCCGCGUGAGUGAAGAAGGUGUUCGGAUCGUAAAACUCUGUUGUUAGAGAAGAACAAGGACGUUAGUAACUGAACGUCCCCUGACGGUAUCUAGCCAGAAAGCCACGGCUAACUACGUG
This 507-nucleotide ribosomal RNA is filed under the name uncultured bacterium. Its description in RNAcentral is "partial 16S ribosomal RNA". It matches the Rfam family "Bacterial small subunit ribosomal RNA", at positions 29 to 507 of the family's 1533-position model. The record is from RNAcentral.